Miniopterus natalensis is the source of this 934-nucleotide long non-coding RNA. RefSeq lists it as uncharacterized. NCBI's taxonomy places the organism in Eukaryota, Metazoa, Chordata, Mammalia, Chiroptera, Miniopteridae. The record is from RefSeq and is a predicted model, not a curated record.
UGGCUUUUCUCUUUUCUCCCCUUCUCAGCGCUCCUGGUCUCCAUCCCGCUCUCUUUCACUUGUCUCAGGCUGUUCCCGUUUGUCUCCUCUCUCCCCUCUUUUUCUGUGAUCUUCCUCCCCUUCGUUUUGCCUUUCAAUCGUGUGGAGUCGCGGACCAGCCCUGACUUUUGACCUUAGCCAGAACCGUAAUUUGCCUUAAAGACGAGACAUUCCAUUGUCAACAGUCGCCUGAUUCUUCCCGCCUUAGAUGUGCAGAAAAACUACUUAAUGGCCCGUUUCGGUCCAUUAACGGUCAUUCAGUCCAGUAAACUAAGGGGCAGUUCUGGGGGAGGGAUCCUAGCCCGAGUGACGGACGGAGGCGGCGGUCAACCAUCAAGGUGUCGGAUUCGGGUGGGGACUGAAGCAGGUCAUCCUGGACAUCUUGCAUGACAACCCAUGGCUCCAUAAGGGAGGAAGUAGAAGCCUCCAGACCUUCUGAAGAGUGUCACUUCUGGAAUAUAUCAGUCAUAGCAUCAAAGCCAAGUCCAGAUUCAAGAGGAGAGUACAUAAGCAAUGCAGGAGCUGCAUGUACAUACAGUGAGGGGCGGGUUUAUUUGGGGCCAUCUGGGUGGAUCUGGGAUGCCCACAGGGAGGGUACCAGUGGUGGCCCUGCCUGUGCAUAUCCUGUUCUUUCUGAAUAUCUGAAGAAAAUCCCAGCAAAUGCAUCUCAGCUUUCCAGAUCCAGAUCAACAUACCCUCAUGUUCUGCAAGACCUAUUGCAAGUUAUGAAACCCCAACUCAAGUAGACUUGAUGCAGAAAAGGUUAUUUAUGUAUUCAUGUACUCAUAACUGAAAAGGUUGGGCAUCAUAAAAUGCCAUCAAGAACCGACCUCACAAAACAAAUACAAGAUGAUUUCAUUUGUAUGUGGAAUUAAAGAACAAAAUGAAGAAAAUA